RNAcentral lists this long non-coding RNA (1501 nucleotides) under Felis catus (domestic cat). RNAcentral describes it as "lncRNA (ENSFCAG00000048070.1)". Lineage: Eukaryota; Metazoa; Chordata; Mammalia; Carnivora; Felidae. The record is from RNAcentral.
ACUGGUCCUGGUGUGCUUGCUGCCGCUGCUGCUGCUGCGGCCCCUGGGCGCCCUGGGCGAGGAACUGCGGCUGCCGCAGCCCCCCCCCCGCCCCCCCCCCGGGCCCAGGGCGGCCGAUUGGCUCUCCAACUUCGCCCACUUCAACAAGUACCUGGAGAAGCUCUUCAACAGCAGCGUGAAGUCUAAGGACCCCCAAGAAAUCGAGAAACGUUCAAAACCCCAAGAAUGCCGCGAACACCACAAAAAGUCCACCAGCAAACACCGUGAAACCUCUACCAGAGAAUGCUAGGAAACCUCCCCAACAGAACACCGGGAAACCCUAACCACUGACCUCCUCCCAGGGCCCCAGGACAAGUUCUCUCUAAGUUUCUGGUCCUCCCAAGACGCUUCCUUCUCAUCACGGAAAGCCUGCCCUCCAGAGCCCCAUCCAGGAGCCACGCGGAGUUCACCGUCACCCUCUUCCAGAAAGUGCAGCUUCGCGAGUUUGAAACACGUUUCCUCUCUGCUCAUCUUUCUACAUGCUUCGUGGAUGCAGCUGGUUGGCCGGGAGCUGCAAACCAGUCUGCCCCUCAAAGGCUCCCAUUUACUAAGCAUUUACCUGGGUCGAGGACCACGCUAAGUGUUCUAUAUGUGUUAGUUCACAUCACGCUCACGACAACCCUGUCAUCCUUCCCACUCUACAGAUGAGGAAUCAGAGGCUCAGAGAGAUUAUAGCCCUGCCCCAAAGCACACAGACAGAAAGUGGCAGAUCCUGGAAUCAGACCCAAGUUCAUCUGAUUCUAUAGCCAAUGCCGUAGCCCUGUAUUACUAGCUUGCUGUCUGCGCAGGACCUUGGAUAAGCGGCUGCACCUCUCUGAGCCUCGGUUUCGUCCUCCGUAGAAUGAGGCUAACAGUAUCUCCCUCACAGCGUUGUUGAAUGCGCCUGGCACACGGUAAGCUCCUUUUCCCAACAGUCUGCACAUGACCCCAUCUCCAGAUCCCUCCCUGUCACAGUCCCCCUCCACCGGCCAUGCUUCUGCCGGGCCCCGCGCCCCCUGAUGAGCCGUGUUCCUACUGAACGUGCACAGUGACACAUCUCUGACCUGUCCAGGGAAGGGUGGCUCUUAAUGCCGCUGAUGCAGCACCAGUCAUGACUUAGCACCAGUCAUUCCUCAGGGCUGGGCCGUUGCCCCUGCCCCCCCCACCCCCCCCCACCCCUGUGUCAAGGACACUUUAGUAUAAAUUAGUACUUCACCUAUUGCCUGGGUGUGGGAAAGAAUUGGUGGAGGAGAGGGUACGUUUAGGGGCAGGGCUGUCAUCAGACUGUUGACCAGGAAAGUCUAAAGUGCUGAAAUGGGAAAAUUCAAGCCUCACAGACUUGCUGAAUGGCCUUGAAGGAGUCCCCGCCUCCCCUGGGCCUGCUCCUCUGUGAAGUGGGGAGGAGGAGCUGAAGGGCUCUGAAGACCCCACAGACCUUCUGGAUCAUUGACAGUACCCUCCUUUCCCCUCUUCGCCUCCCUCC